RNAcentral lists this unclassified non-coding RNA (259 nucleotides) under fungal sp. RNAcentral describes it as "partial internal transcribed spacer region". The stretch from base 1 to 46 matches the Rfam family "Eukaryotic small subunit ribosomal RNA", at positions 1786 to 1831 of the family's 1831-position model. Lineage: Eukaryota; Fungi. The record is from RNAcentral.
AAGUCGUAACAAGGUAACCGUAGGUGAACCUGCGGUUGGAUCAUUAACGAAAAUAUCUUGAUCGGACGUGGACGUGUCGGUCCUUCUGGACCCGCACGACCUCGUCUACAUCAACCAACCCCACUUUUAUUUUUUUUUUCCUGUUUUUUCACAUUGUUUUUGAACUCGGAGGUCUGCCGACAUCUCGCGAUGUGGGUGUUCCGACGUGUGAUACUGAAAGAACAAUAAACAACUUUUGGCAACGGAUCUCUUGGCUCUC